UACGAAGGGGGCUAGCGUUGCUCGGAAUCACUGGGCGUAAAGCGCACGUAGGCGGAUUGCUAAGUCAGGGGUGAAAUCCUGGAGCUCAACUCCAGAACUGCCUUUGAUACUGGCGAUCUUGAGUCCGGGAGAGGUGAGUGGAACUGCGAGUGUAGAGGUGAAAUUCGUAGAUAUUCGCAAGAACACCAGUGGCGAAGGCGGCUCACUGGUCCAUUACUGACGCUGAGGUGCGAAAGCGUGGGGAGCAAACAGG
Molecule: ribosomal RNA, 253 nt
Filed under: uncultured bacterium
Lineage: Bacteria
Description: partial 16S ribosomal RNA
Rfam family: Bacterial small subunit ribosomal RNA
Source: RNAcentral